This 1111-nucleotide long non-coding RNA is filed under the name Capsicum annuum. Its description in RNAcentral is "long non-coding RNA (CANN_LNC012568)". The record is from RNAcentral. Lineage: Eukaryota; Viridiplantae; Streptophyta; Magnoliopsida; Solanales; Solanaceae.
ACCACUCCAAGGAUUACGUAGUUUGAAUUCUAGAAAUUUCAUUUCAAUGUUGCUUUGUUUGAAAUUUAAAAUCAACUUUUUAGACUGGAAAGUUGAUGGUUUCUCUAUGCUAAAUUUGUUGUAGUAGCAUGCUUAUUGUUCUAUUUUUUGUGUAAGACUAGAGGGACUCUCUUGUUCUAUCAAUUUAUUUUUCAAGAAAAUAGUGUUGCUUGAGUUGGUUUGACAGAAACUUCACGUUGUCUCAAUCAAAAUUGAUUUUUGAGUGAACCCUUAUUAGUUGUCAUCAAAAUCUUCCUUAUAUAUACUGGCGGGUCAUGGAAAGCUUUCCAAAAAAAGAUCCAGUUGUUGUUUUUGUUACUGCUACGUAUGAUGUCAAGUCUAACUCUAAAUAAUUCUACCCUCAUGAAAGAGUUUAAAAUUUCCUUUCUAGUUUUUGUUUUGUUUGUCGACCAUAUUUGGUCUCAGUUUUAUACAAAGAAAGGUAUUAAUAUUGUAAUGAUAUCAUGAAAUUUAGUUGUUUAAAAUAUGUGUUAUGAACAGAUAUAUUGUCUAAUUUAGGGACAUAUCAGUUAUGGAAAACAUGAUUGUAGUUGUACUAGAGGAAAUAUGUUGUUAUAUUAGCAAUGAUUACUAAUCUUUCUGCUAUAGUGUCCUGAUUUAUUUUUAUUAGGAAUGAUUACUAAACUUUCUCCUAUAGUGGUGCUAACUAUACUUUAACUUGGUAUGAUUAUUCUAAUACUACUAUGGCAAUCAAUACAUUGAUAUGGAAGAAGAAAAGUUUCACCUUUAGUAACAUUUUUAACAUUGUGCUUAUAAUGGCUGACAUUCAAGUAUUGCAUGCCCAUCUCCUCACAUCGUAGUUUGGGUCUCUUGUGAUGAGUUUUUCUUUGUAUUACUUUUCAAGAUGGAUUGUCCUUCAUGUGUUCUAAAUGGAAAUAUGUCAUCAUUUAAGUGAUGAUUGAGAUUAUUUAUUCUCUUUUUGUAGGUGUCCAAAAUGAAGAAGGAGAUGGAGAAAGAAGUGAUGAAGACAUUGACCUUGCUUGAAAAGAUUUUUAAAUUGUUGAAAGAUGUUUUAAUAAUGAUCUUUUUUAUAUUGAAUUUCUUGAAACUU